UACGGAGGGGGCUAGCGUUGUUCGGAAUUACUGGGCGUAAAGCGCGCGUAGGCGGCUUUGUAAGUUAGAGGUGAAAGCCCGGAGCUCAACUCCGGAACUGCCUUUAAGACUGCAUCGCUAGAAUUGUGGAGAGGUGAGUGGAAUUCCGAGUGUAGAGGUGAAAUUCGUAGAUAUUCGGAAGAACACCAGUGGCGAAGGCGGCUCACUGGUCCGGUACUGACGCUGAGGUGCGAAAGCGUGGGGAGCAAACAGG
Molecule: ribosomal RNA, 253 nt
Filed under: uncultured bacterium
Lineage: Bacteria
Description: partial 16S ribosomal RNA
Rfam family: Bacterial small subunit ribosomal RNA
Source: RNAcentral